Molecule: small nuclear RNA, 107 nt
Organism: Phyllostomus discolor (pale spear-nosed bat)
Lineage: Eukaryota; Metazoa; Chordata; Mammalia; Chiroptera; Phyllostomidae
Source: RefSeq, a predicted model, not a curated record
GUGCUCACUUCAGCAGCACAUAUACUAAAAUUGGAAGACUACAGAGAAGAUUAGCAUGGCCCCUGCAUAAGGAUGACACACAAAUUUAUGAAGUAUUUUAUAUUUUU